This 442-nucleotide ribosomal RNA is filed under the name uncultured bacterium. Its description in RNAcentral is "bacterial SSU rRNA". It matches the Rfam family "Bacterial small subunit ribosomal RNA", at positions 354 to 796 of the family's 1533-position model. The record is from RNAcentral.
GUAAGGAAUAUUGCGCAAUGGGCGAAAGCCUGACGCAGCGACGCCGCGUGGGGGAUGAAGGUCUUCGGAUUGUAAACCCCUUUCGGGAGGGAAGAUGGGAUGGGGUAACCCAUUCGGACGGUACCUCCAGAAGCAGCCACGGCUAACUUCGUGCCAGCAGCCGCGGUAAUACGAAGGUGGCAAGCGUUGUUCGGAUUUACUGGGCGUACAGGGAGCGUAGGCGGUUGGGUAAGCCCUCCGUGAAAUCUCCAGGCUUAACCUGGAAAGUGCAGAGGGGACUGCUCGGCUAGAGGAUGGGAGAGGAGCGCGGAAUUCCCGGUGUAGCGGUGAAAUGCGUAGAGAUCGGGAGGAAGGCCGGUGGCGAAGGCGGCGCUCUGGAACAUUUCUGACGCUGAGGCUCGAAAGCGUGGGGAGCAAACAGGAUUAGAAACCCCUGUAGUCC